GAGUUUGAUCAUGGCUCAGAUUGAACGCUGGCGGCAUGCCUUACACAUGCAAGUCGAACGGCAGCACGGGAGCUUGCUCCUGGUGGCGAGUGGCGAACGGGUGAGUAAUGCGUCGGAACGUAUCCUGGAGUGGGGGAUAACGUAGCGAAAGUUACGCUAAUACCGCAUAUUCUGUGAGCAGGAAAGCGGGGGACCUUCGGGCCUCGCGCUCUUGGAGCGGCCGAUGUCGGAUUAGCUAGUUGGUGAGGUAAAGGCUCACCAAGGCGACGAUCCGUAGCAGGUCUGAGAGGAUGAUCUGCCACACUGGAACUGAGACACGGUCCAGACUCCUACGGGAGGCAGCAGUGGGGAAUUUUGGACAAUGGGGGCAACCCUGAUCCAGCCAUGCCGCGUGAGUGAAGAAGGCCUCGG
This 411-nucleotide ribosomal RNA is filed under the name bacterium enrichment culture clone ALO1_GLFRUDD03GLICY. RNAcentral's name for it is "bacterial SSU rRNA". It matches the Rfam family "Bacterial small subunit ribosomal RNA", at positions 9 to 420 of the family's 1533-position model. The record is from RNAcentral.